Molecule: long non-coding RNA, 2724 nt
Filed under: Homo sapiens (human)
Lineage: Eukaryota; Metazoa; Chordata; Mammalia; Primates; Hominidae
Description: lncAB234.1
Source: RNAcentral
CUUGCCCCCACGGCGGCCUCCCGGGGCCAAGUCCCUGCCUGCCUCCCAGCAGCCCGCGUACGGCCCAGCUCCUCCCUCACGAUGGCCUGUUGAUGCCCAACUCAUGCCUCUGGCACCCUGCCCAGAGGCGUGAGCCCCUGUCUCACACUGGCUCCUCCCACGCUGAGAGAGGUCAGUGUGAGCCCUUGCCUCACACCGGCCCCUCCCACGCGGACAGAGGUCAGCGUGAGCCCCUUGCCUCACACCGGCCCCUCCCACGCUGAGAGAGGUCAGUGUGAGCCCUUGCCUCACCCCGGCCCCUCCCACGUGGACAGAGGUCAGCGUGAGCCCCUUGCCUCACACCGGCCCCUCCCACGCUGCGAGAGGUCAGCCUGAGCCCUUGCCUCACACCGGCCCCUCCCACGCUGAGAGAGGUCAGCCUGAGCCCUUGCCUCACACCGGCCCCUCCCACGCUGAGAGAGGUCAGCCUGAGCCCUUGUCUCACACCGGCCCCUCCCACGCUGAGAGAGGUCAGCCCGAGCCCCUCGCCUCACACCGGCCCCUCCCACGCUGAGAGAGGUCAGCGUGAGCCCCUUGCCUCACACCGGCCCCUCCCACGCUGAGAGAGGUCAGUGUGAGCCCUUGCCUCACACCGGCCCCUCCCACGCGGACAGAGGUCAGCGUGACCCCCUGCCUCAACAGGCCACCGUGAGGGAGGAACAGGAUCGCACUCGGGCUGCUGGGAGGUAGGCAGGGACUUGGGCCUGGGAGGUCGCGGUGGGGCGAGAGCUGGGCCUGGAGACUCCCCUGGGAGGCAACAGCGGGGUCUGCAGACGCCCUUCUCCAGCCGGAGCUGGGACUGUUCAGUCACUGGGAGAAGGGAUGUGGGUCUGAAGAGCUUGGUUGCAGAAACUUCGGGGUCUACAAACGCAGGCGGGAGCUGAGCCAAAAGAGCUUGUUUGCUGGGAGGUGGGAGAUGCAGCCAGGAGGAACAGCUGGGCAAUGCGGGAGGCAGAGGCCAGGCCUCCUCAAGUUGGCCUCUCAGACCCACUUGCAGCCUCCCGGCGCCCCCUCCGGGCCCAGCUCUUCCUCCCGGCUGCAUCUCCAGGGCGGACUCUGGCCCGACUCCAGGUCCCAACAACGUCUUUGGACUCAGCUCCUGCCCAGCUCCCAGCGGCCCUGGUAGGCCCACAACUUCCCUAAGCCAAGCUCCCCAGGCCCAGCUCAGGCCUCGCGGUGGCCUCUCCAGGCUCAGCUCCUGGCCCUCCGAUGACAUCUGCAGGCCCCAAACGGCCUCCGGUCGGUGGGCUCCUCUAGGCCCAGCUUGGGCCUCCCGGCGGCCUCCGCAGGCCCAAAUCGUCCCGAAGUCAGUCUCUCCAGGCUUAGCUCCAGCCUCCCGGCGGCCUCUGCAGGCCCAAGUCGUCCUCAAGUCGGCCUGGAAGUGGGCCUGGAAGAGCAGCAAGUCGGCCUCCCCGGGCCCAGCUCCGUCCUCUCGGCGGCCUCUCCAGGUGCAAAACUUCCUCGAGUCAGCCUCUCCAGGCCCAGCUCCUCCUGCCUCCCAGUGGCCUCUUUCGGCCCAGCCCAGCUCAUGGCUCUCGGCGGCCUUCCCAGGCCCCGCUUUUGACUUUUGGCAGCCUCUUCAGGCGCAGAACUUGAUCUCCAGGCGGCCUUUGCAGGCCCGGCCUCCUGCCUCUCGAAGGCCUGCACGGGCCCGGCCUCGGCCUCGGCCUCACAGCGGACUCUCCACGCCCAGCUAGCUCUCGCCUCACUGCGGUCUCCCCAGUCCAAAGCUCCUGGCUUUCGGCCACUUCGGCAGGUCCAGCUCCUGCCUGCCAGUGGCCUCUUUAGGCCCAGCUCAUUCCUCACGUCGGCCAUUCCAGGCCCCGUUUUUCCCUUCCGGCAGCCUCUUGGCCUCUAAUUUGUUUAUCUUUUGUGUAUAAAUCCCAAAAUAUUGAAUUUUGGAAUAUUUCCACCAUUAUGUAAAUAUUUUGGUAGGUAAUUUAUUUGGAGUGAGUUUCUGCGCCAAGCCCGAAUUUUUUAUUUUAUUUUCCUUAUUAUUUGGUGUUAAACAGGUUUAAUGACGGUCAUGGCAACUUUUUGGCACAAUGAAAAAUAUCGCCCACGAUCAACGUGUUCUGUUCUGGGGAAGGGGGCAAAGGCAGGGUGAAUCACUUUCUUAAAAAGUAUAGCUCAAGUUGGGAGUGCAGAGGGAAUGGGGAGAAAACCCUCCCGCUGCCUGUGUCGAAGUGCAGGAGCCCCCACCCCCAUACUCACCUGAGUCCAGCCCCUCUGGGGAAAGAAGGGGUGCAUGAACUCCCCCUAGUCCACAGGCGCCUCCCUGUGGCCCAAGGCCCUCUUCACACUCCAUCUUGUAGCCCCAGCAGGAGCUAUUUUCCGAAAAGUGAAAAGCUCUGAAGGUCCCACAAUUCAUGGUAUGUACAGGGGCUCGGAGGAGGGAAACUGCCCAGCUUUCCCCCGGCACAGCUGCAGGGGUAGGGGGUAUAGAUAAGAGGAGCAGGCCUUGGCCAGGCGUGGUGGCUCACGCCUGUAAUCCCAGCACUUUGGGAGGGGGAGGCAGGCAGAUCACGAUGUCAGGAGAUCGAAAUCAGCCUGGCCAAGAUGAUGAAGCCCCGUCUGUACUAAAAAUACAAAAAUUAGCCGGACGUGGUAGCGUGCACCUGUAAUCCUAGCUACCGAGAAGGCUGAGGCAGGAGAAUGGCGUGAACCCGGCGGGAAGAGGUUGCA